This 6831-nucleotide long non-coding RNA is filed under the name Brassica rapa (field mustard). RNAcentral describes it as "long non-coding RNA (BRAP_LNC006562)". The record is from RNAcentral. Lineage: Eukaryota; Viridiplantae; Streptophyta; Magnoliopsida; Brassicales; Brassicaceae.
GAAAAGACAACAUAGAAAAUAGAAAUGAAUGAAAACAAGACAUAGAAACUAGAAAUGAAGACUUUGACUAAAGACUGGUCAAGGUGCGGAUUCUUGUGUUGACUGGUCCAGAUUCACAAAGACGUCCAGGUUCAUCCUCUGGUGAUCAGGUCGUUCGCGGUAAGGAGCAGGACGGACGUAAGGCUGCCUGCAUGAUUGAUCGUCGAUGAUCCAUGAACGGAUGAAGAGAUAGCUCGACCCAAAUCUUCAGAGAGCUUAAGUAUCCUUCCUUUGGAGUAGUUGGAAGCAUCGUUCAUCAUGAAAUCAUCAAAGUGGUUGGAAAGGUCGUGAUCAGCCUGAUCCGGGCGUGCGGUACGUCCCAAACGGGCCAGCAAAGACAGGCUAAGUCCGGAAUCUGAUUCUUCUCGAUGAUCAUGGGUUCUGGCUUGACUGUUGGCUCUAGAAUGGCGAAUGGGUCGGGGAAGAACGCCUGUGGUUUGGCUGAUUUGGUCAUCAGGUCGUGGAUCCAUCCUUAGGUCACGUCCGGGUGCACGCGGGUCGAUCCGGUACACGGCUCUGUCCGUUGAUCUGGAACGGCUAAAUGGCUGAACCUCAGUUGGACUGAUCUGAUCGUCCUGGUCACCAUGCUGAGUCUGCUCCACGUCCUGGUCCAGGUCCUGGGUUCUAUCAUUCCCUCCCUCUUCAAAAGGAUUUGACCACAAAUCCGGAUCAUCUGCGCAAAAAGGAGAUAAAUCAGAAACAUUAAAACUUGAAGAGAUAUCAUACUUACCCUAAAGAUCAAGCUGGUAAGCAUUGUCAUGGAGUUUCCUGAGAAUCUGGAAUGGACCAUCGACCCGGGGCAUGAGUUUGGACUUCCUUUGUUCCGGGAAUCGUUCCUUCCUCAUGUGGACCCAAACAAGAUCACCUUCCUGGAAGAUCACUUCUUUCCUUUUCUUGUCUGCAAGUCGUUUGUAGCCCUCGGUCUUGGCUUCAAUGUUGGCACGAACCUGUUCAUGCAGCUUCUUGAUCGUGUCCACCUUCCUCUUGCCAUCUGUACUAACUCGUUCACUCAAAGGCAAAGGUAAAAGAUCAAGUGGAGACAAGGGAUUAAAUCCAUAAACAACCUCAAAAGGAGAAAACUUAGUAGCUGAAUGCAAAGCAUGGUUAUAAGCAAAUUCUACAUGAGGCAAACAUUCUUCCCAAGUCCUAAGAUUCUUUUUAACCAAAGAUCUAAGCAAAGCAGACAAGGUUCGGUUAACUACUUCAGUUUGCCCAUCAGUUUGCGGAUGACAAGUUGUAGAGAACAUCAAUCUAGUACCUAGCUUAGACCACAAGGUCUUCCAAAAAUAGCUAAGGAACUUAGCAUCACGAUCAGAGACAAUGGUCUUAGGCAUUCCAUGCAAUCUAACAACUUCCUUAAAGAAUAAAUCUGCAACUUGCACAGCAUCAUCAGUUUUGUGACAAGGAAUGAAAUGAGCCAUUUUCGAGAACCUAUCAACAACCACAAAGAUAGAAUCUCGUCCAGCUUUAGACCUAGGCAAUCCAAGCACAAAAUCCAUAGAAAUGUCUACCCAAGGAUGAGAGGGAAUGGGUAGAGCUGAGUACAUACCGUGGUGUGAUGCUUUAGGCUUAGACUUCUUGCACACCACACAUCGGCUACAGAUCCUCACAACAUCUUUCAUCAGACACGGCCAGUAGAAAUGGUCAUGAACCGCCUUGUAGGUUUUCUUGACUCCAAAGUGUCCCAUAAGCCCACCUCCAUGAGCUUCCCUGAGAAACAACUACCUCAAAGAACAUUGGGGCACACCCAAACGGUUAUCAAAGAACAAGAAACCAGAAUUUUGAAAGUAUUUGCCAUAAGCAACCUUUGAGCAUUUUCGAAAAAUCUCUUUAAAAUCCUGAUCAGAAGCAUAAAGAUCCUUGAUAAAUUCAAAGCCAAGCAAUUUAGUUUCAAGGGCUGAGAGAAGAGUGUACCUUCGAGACAAUGCAUCGGCCACAACAUUCUCCUUACCUUGUUUGUACUUGAUCACAUAAGGGAAUGUCUCAAUGAACUCCAUCCAACGAGCAUGCCUCUUGUUGAGCUUCUGCUGACCCUUAAGGUGUCUUAGAGACUGAUAAUCAGUGUGGAUGAUGAACUCCUUAGGCCAAAGAUAGUGCUGCCACGUUUGAAGGGCCCUCACCAAGGCAUAGAGUUCUUGGUCGUAUGUGGGGUAGUUGAGCAUGGCUCCUCCAAGCUUCUCACUGAAAUAAGCCACUGGUUUUCCAUCCUGCAUCAACACAGCACCAAUACCAACACCAGAAGCAUCACAUUCGAUUUCAAAAUCUUUAGAAAAAUCUGGAAGUACAAGUAAAGGGGCGUGAGUCAACUUCCCUUUAAGGAUUUCGAAUGCUUCUUCCUGAGCUGGUCCCCAUUUGAACCCCACGUUCUUCUUGAUUACUUCAGUAAGAGGAGCGGCCAAGGUACUGAAGUUUUGAACAAAUCGCCUAUAGAAGCCGGCAAGACCAUGGAAGCUUCUUACUUCACCAAUGGUGGUCGGAAUCGGCCAGUCCCGGAUUGCUUGGACCUUCUGCUCGUCUACUCUUAAGCCAUCUGCACCUACAACAAAACCUAGAAAGACCACAUGAUCUGUGCCAAAAGAACACUUUCCAAGGUUAGCAAACAAACGUUCCUUUCUAAGGACUUCAAGAACGGAUUUUAAAUGCUGUUUGUGCUCAUCAAGGCUUUUGCUGUAAAUAAGAAUGUCAUCAAAGUAAACCACAACAAAAUGACCAAUAAAAGACCUCAAGACAUGAUUCAUUAGGCGCAUGAAAGUACUAGGUGCAUUAGUGAGACCAAAGGGCAUGACAAGCCACUCAUACAAACCUUGUUUUGUUUUAAAGGCCGUUUUCCAUUCAUCACCUUCUUUCAUCCUAAUCUGAUGAUAGCCACUUCUCAAAUCUAUCUUAGAAAAGUACUUAGAACCAUGGAGUUCAUCAAGCAUAUCAUCAAGACGAGGGAUAGGAUGUCGAUAAUUUACCGUGAUGUUGUUUAUGGCCCGGCAGUCCACACACAUCCUCCAGGAGCCAUCCUUCUUUGGUACAAGUAGAACAGGCACGGCACAGGGACUGAGACUCUCUCUGAUGUAUUCCUUCUCAAGCAAGUCGUUGAUCUGUUUCUCCAGCUCCUUGGUCUCGACUGGAUUGGUGCGGUACGCUGGUCGGUUCGGUAGAGAGGCGCCCGGAACGAGAUCGAUCUGAUGCUCAAUGCCUCUCACCGGUGGCAAUCCUUUGGGAUUUUCUUCUGGAAACACAUCAGAAUAAUCCUGCAAGAUACCUAAAAACUCACUCGGAAUCUCCGGUGCAAGGUCAGAAGAAGAUGAGGCCAAGAGAGACUCUUUAUAAAUCAGUAAGAGAAAUGGCUUUUGAGAGCAAAGAGACUUUCUUACCUGACUUUCUUUGACAAAGAAAUUGGAGUUCCUGGUACUGGUCUCAGGUUUAUCAGCUUUAGAGUCUUGGUCUCGGUUCUUCUUAAGUUGGACUUGGUCUUGAUGGACUUCCGAAGGCGACAAAGGCACCAAGGUGAUCUUCUUUCCCUUAUGAUCAAAUGAAUGCCGGUUUGUGAAACCAUCAUGCACUGCCUUCUUGUCAAAUUGCCAAGGCCGACCCAAGAGAACAUGGCAAGCAUCCAUGGGAAGCACAUUGCACACAACCUCGUCCUCAUAUCGGCCAAUGGAAAGUGGAACCGUGACUUGCUCCUUCACAUACUGUUCUCCAGCCUCAUUGAGCCACUCCAACCUGAAAGGACGAGAAAGAGGCCGAGUAACAAGCCCAAGUUUCUUUACUAGGGUGUCACUAGCCACAUUAGUGCAACUACCUCCAUCAAUGAUUAAAGAACAAACUUUAUCAGAAAUGAGACAUCUAGAGUGAAAGAGAUUCUCCCUUUGUUCUUUGUCAUUGGAUUUUGGUUGGACACUCAAGGCACGCCUAGUAACCAGUAGUGAACCAUGGCUCGGUUCUUCAAGAACAUCCUCAUCAUAAAUCGGAUAAGAACUCUCCACAAAGGUCGAGCAAAACUCAUUGAUCACUCCAUCGACCUCCUCAUCAAAGAUGGGAUCAGUGGUGUCGUCCAAGACUCUCCUAGUAACAAGAAGGGGACCAUGAACCGGGAAGUCAAGUGCUUCUUCCUCAUUAUCAUCAUCAUACACUGGUCCGAGAUCCUCCUUGUCUUCUUCAGAUUCGACUUCUCCAUUCUCCAAGAGCACCAUCACCUUUUGGUUUGGACAUCGGUUGGCAUAGUGGCCAAGGCCAUGACACCUAAAGCAUUGGAUGUCUCUGGUUCGUUUGGUAGCCUCUUCUUUCUUUUCUCUAUCAACACGAGCAGGGACAUUAGUCUUAAAAGCUGUAUUUGUUGUGGAAGAAGACUUACCCUUGUCUUGAUAGUUUGGCUUGGAAGCAAAGGUCGGUUUAGAGGCAAAGGUCGGUUUAGUGAGACCCUUUCUCUUGACUUGUUGCUCGAUCAGCACGGCCUUGUGUAGCAUCUGCUCCAUGCUGUCAUAGUCCUCCAGCUCCAUGCGGUCUUGUAUGUCCCGAUUGAGCCCGGUAAGAAAUCUGGCCAUGGUGGCGUCUAAGGGCUCUUCUACAUCAGCUUUGAUCAUCAAGGUCUCCAUCUCCUGGUGAUAGUCCUCAACUGACUUAGAACCUUGAAGCAAACGCCUGAGUUUAUGGUGUAGAUCUCGGUGGUAAUGGUCGGGAACAAAGCGUCUCCGCAUCAGCAUGGAAAGCUCAUCCCAUGUAUCAACUGGCGCCUCACCUGCUCUCCUCCUGCUAGUCACAACUCGAUCAUACCAGUUAAUAGCAUAGCCAGUAAACUCAGCAGCAGCAAGUCUAACCUUUUUAAUAUCAGAAAAAUUUUGACAAUCAAACACAAGUUCAAUUUUUCUUUCCCAUUCAAGAAAGGCAUCCGGAUCAUUUUUGCCAUCAAAACUUGGAAUUUUCAAUUUCAAACCACUCAAGCCAUCAUUGGUUCUUUCAUUUCUACCAAAAGGAUUGACAUCACCUCGGUUUUGAUGCCUAGGAACUCUCCUUGGACGGUUGAUGGAUCGAUCAUCAUCAUAAGACUCUUCUCGGAUUUCUAGGUCGGACCGGCUGUUCCUCCUUGGAUGGUCACGUCUGGUUCUGGUUCGUGACUGAGUUGGUCGGCCCUGAAGUUCAUCAAGCCUCUGAUGGAUCGCCUCCAAACCUGUAUUCAACAAGUUAGACAUAGAAUCAUUGAGAGCACGCAUUUGCAAGUUAGAUAAUCCGGCAUAUGAAUUUCCGGGUCGGUUUCUUUCUUCUUCACUAUCCAUGGUUUCCUGAAAACUUAAACAAGGUAAAGUUAGAUUAAAACCCUCACACACUCAGGUGUUUAUCCUCACCCACACACGUGUUUCACUCAAUUUUUGUUGGUAAUCACACAAGAGAGUUCCUCCCAAAGUUCUAAGAGAGCAAACUAGAUCACCCAAUGAGCAAAACCAAGUGAACCACAAAGAUCAAGAGAGAAAGAUAAGAGAUUUAGAGGGGAACCCGCCUUAACCUCCUCAAAGACCGGAUUUCUCUUCGGCCAGCAGGCUUUCUCUUCCACCACCACACCACAAACAAAUCAAACUUUGGAAUAUCUUUUUUUUUUUUUUAUACUUUUUUUUUUUUUUUUUAUAGAUCUUUCUUUUUUUUUUUUUAUGGGGGUAAUGAGGGGCCCGGGUUCAAGAUAGAUAGAUAUGAAAUUUAGAUGAAGAAUAUGGAAGAUGAGAUGAAAUGGAUUGAAAAAGAGUUACCGAGAGAGUGGCUCUGAUACCACUUGAUAGAACCAAAAUAAGGAUCACUCUUUCGGUAAGGUUGAUAUGAACUCAGAUCCGAGAGGAUUGAGAACUGAUGGAUCGAAGGGUGACACUAAGGGUUGCGGAUGAGCCCAAAGAUACUACCAGAUAUUCGAAGGUUGCCGGAUGUGACGCACCGGUCCAACACAACGAAGUGGUUCGCUUGGAGAUGACCUCACCAAGAGAAGUAUGAAUGUUCUAAGCAAAGAACAAUGAGAGAAGACUCAAAAUAAGCAAAGGAAAAUCGAUGUGAUUUUAUUAAGGGGGAUCAUCACAUACUUAUAAGGUUUGUGAGUCAAAGAAACAUAAAGACAUUUGUGGGAAAAGACAACAUAAAAAAUAGAAAUGAAUGAAAACAAGACAUAGAAACUAGAAAUGAAGACUUUGACUAAAGACUGGUCAAGGUGCGGAUUCUUGUGUUGACUGGUCCAGAUUCACAAAAACGUCCAGGUUCAUCCUCUGGUGAUCAGGUCGUUCGCGGUAAGGAGCAGGACGGACGUAAGGCUGCCCGCAUGAUUGAUCGUCGAUGAUCCAUGAACGGAUGAAGAGAUAGCUCGACCCAAAUCUUCAGAGAGCUUAAGUAUCCUUCCUUUGGAGUAGUUGGAAGCAUCGUUCAUCAUGAAAUCAUCAAAGUGGUUGGAAAGGUCGUGAUCAGCCUGAUCCGGGCGUGCGGUACGUCCCAAACGGGCCAGGAAAGACAGGCUAAGUCCGGAAUCUGAUUCUUCUCGAUGAUCAUGGGUUCUGGCUUGACUGUUGGCUCUAGAAUGGCGAAUGGGUCGGGGAAGAACGCCUGUGGUUUGGCUGAUUUGGUCAUCAGGUCGUGGAUCCAUCCUUAGGUCACGUCCGGGUGCACGCGGGUCGAUCCGGUACACGGCUCUGUCCGUUGAUCUGGAACGGCUAAAUGGCUGAACCUCAGUUGGACUGAUCUGAUCGUCCUGGUCACCAUGCUGAGUCUGCUCCACGUCCAGGUCCAGGUCCUGGGUUCUAUCACUACCUUCAUCCAUCAGAUAAUCCAGGAGCU